AUUGAACGCUGGCGGCAUGCUUUACACAUGCAAGUCGAACGGUAACAGCACUUCGGUGGCUGACGAGUGGCGAACGGGUGCGUAAUACAUCGGAACGUGCCUAGUAGUGGGGGCUAACUACUCGAAAGAGUAGCUAAUACCGCAUGAGAUCUAAGGAUGAAAGCAGGGGACCUUCGGGCCUUGCGCUACUAGAGCGGCUGAUGGCAGAUUAGGUAGUUGGUGGGAUAAAAGCUUACCAAGCCGACGAUCUGUAGCUGGUCUGAGAGGACGACCAGCCACACUGGGACUGAGACACGGCCCAGACUCCUACGGGAGGCAGCAGUGGGGAAUUUUGGACAAUGGGCGCAAGCCUGAUCCAGCAAUGCCGCGUGCAGGAUGAAGGCCUUCGGGUUGUAAACUGCUUUUGUACGGAACGAAAAGCCCUCUUCUAAUACAGGAGGGUCAUGACGGUACCGUAAGAAUAAGCACCGGCUAACUACGUG
Molecule: ribosomal RNA, 482 nt
Filed under: uncultured bacterium
Lineage: Bacteria
Description: partial 16S ribosomal RNA
Rfam family: Bacterial small subunit ribosomal RNA
Source: RNAcentral